CUACGGGAGGCAGCAGUAGGGAAUUUUCCACAAUGGGCGCAAGCCUGAUGGAGCAACGCCGCGUGAGGGAUGAAGGUUUUCGGAUUGUAAACCUCUUUGAAGUGGGAAGAACGAUUUGCGGAUCAACAACCCGCAGAAGUGACGGUACCACUAAAACAAGUCACGGCUAACUCUGUGCCAGCAGCCGCGGUAAUACAGAGGUGACGAACGUUGUCCGGAAUCACUGGGCGUAAAGGGCGUGUAGGCGGUUGAUUAAGUCAGAUGUGAAAUCUCUUGGCUCAACCAGGAAAUUGCAUUUGAAACUGAUCAGCUAGAGUUCGGUAGAGGAAGGCGGAAUUCCAGGUGUAGCGGUGAAAUGCGUAGAUAUCUGGAGGAACACCUGUGGCGAAGGCGGCUUUCUGGUCCGAUACUGACGCUGAAACGCGAAAGCUAGGGGAGCAAACAGGAUUAGAUACCCCGGUAGC
RNAcentral lists this ribosomal RNA (464 nucleotides) under uncultured bacterium. RNAcentral describes it as "bacterial SSU rRNA". It matches the Rfam family "Bacterial small subunit ribosomal RNA", at positions 339 to 794 of the family's 1533-position model. The record is from RNAcentral.